Molecule: long non-coding RNA, 1916 nt
Organism: Oncorhynchus gorbuscha (pink salmon)
Lineage: Eukaryota; Metazoa; Chordata; Actinopteri; Salmoniformes; Salmonidae
Exons: 4
Source: RefSeq, a predicted model, not a curated record
CUUACAGUAACUUGAUAGCAUUGAAGCAUUCACAUUGAAACAAUGGACCUUAUUUUGUUGCUAAUCCCAAAUGGACCCUUAUACUCUAUGCACAUGUGUUGAUCUGAGAUGAUUUGAUGGUUUUAAACAAUAUGAUUAAACUUCCACCUAGCCUAUCAGAGGGCUAAUUGGAAUAAUGACAAAUUUGCUCACAUAAGUCAAAUCCUCUCAGAUCUCCUCAAGUGCAUAAGGAGUAGGGUCUAAGGCAGGGUCAUUCAACUCUUACCCUACGAGGGUUGGAGCUUGCUGGUUUUCUGCUCUACCUGAUAAUUAAUUGUACACACCUUAUUUCCCAGGUCUAAAUCAGUCAGUCCCUGAUUAGAGGAAAACAUUUUAUUUUUUAAUUUAGUGGAACUUCCUUCAAGGUUCAGAGUUGAGUUUGAGGGGUCUAGGGGUUGAUUUAGGAUUGGGCCAUACUUUUGUAUUCAGAACUUUCAAUUGAAGUGUGACAUACAUUAGACGUCUGUUAUGGUUAACAUGUGAUUCAGUUUGUCUCAAGGAGGUUUCUCUAAGCUCAACUGGAAGUGUCACAGAGUAGAGGUACGGUAAUUGGCUUGAUACUAUUUAAAAACAUUGAAGCAUUCACAUCGAAACAGUGGACCUUAUUUUGUAUUGUCACAUUUUAGAGCCUGAACUUUCAAAUGAACUCAGAUGUCUGUUAAUGUUAACAUGUGAUUCAUUUUGUCUCAGACAUCACUCUACUCAACCGUAAACAAUGGACCUCACAAGACAGCAGAUGUAUGGCUUACAGUAACUUAAUAUAAUUAAAAACAUUGAAUCAUUCACAUCAACACAAUAGACCUUAUUUUGUGGCGUCAACAAUGAAGUGUGACAUACAGUACAUUAGGCUUCCGUUAACAGACAUCUCUCCACCCAACCGUACUGCAACAGUCCCAGUCUCUCCACUCGUCCCACUGUCUCCCCAACCAGAAGAGGGGGACCUGCCCUCUGUGAGAAAUGAAGCAUCUAUAAUGAAGCAUUUGAAAGAGUGAAAUAUGUGGGGGUUGUUACAACCACCUGGAUUGUUACAGAUUCAGAUGUGUAUUGCUAAUGAACCAAAAAAGGUAACCCCAAAAACGUUAAACUGUGAACGACCUGGCAAGACAUGGAAAAUGCAACGGCCAGAUUUCUGGAGACCACAGGUUGCAGGGAGGGUUGAAGAGGAGGUUGUGGAGGAGUGAGCCCUUGACUCCCCUGUACCAUAGACGGUGGUCAGACAAGACAAUUGUGUAAUCUGUGUGUGUGUGUGUGUGUGCCAAUCAGAUUGCAGAUGUCUGAAUUGUUAGCAAAAAUAUAUUUUAUUUUGUAAGAUUUUAUUACUUUUUUUUCAAAAAAUACAAAACAUGCACAUACCAACAACAGCAUACAGACGCACACAAACAUCAAUGACAUAACACCUGGCCAGACCCACCUGCUCACACCCCAUCCAUCUCCAGCGCCCGCAUCACUCUCCGCAACAUGGCCUCAAACUGUACCAUUUUGUUUUACUCUGUCACCAACGCAUUUUCAACAUUUUAGAUGAUAUAGUAUUGGACUUUUCCAUUGUGUUAGUGAUGGAGGAUUGGUUGAUUUCCAGUUAAGUGUGCAUUUUUUUUCAAGAUGAUUGAUGAAAUGUAUCCUUCAACCCAUCGGGUAUCUCACUGCUCACUCAUAUGCCAUGUCUUGAAAUAUGCAGACAGAUGGAUUAAAAUUCAUUUACAUUGUGAUACUUCUGACAGACAACUUUCUAUCUCUGCCAAUAACAUUUGGACUUCAUAGCAUCCGCAGAAGGCAUGGAUUAUUGUUAGUUUUAUGCUUAAGACAUGACUCUGCCAUUGUGCUGACGUAUGUGAUUUUUAUCUUUGUAUAAUACAUUCUAUACAUUAGUUUAUACUGGA